This is a non-coding RNA of Drosophila melanogaster (fruit fly), 1815 nucleotides long. The record is from Ensembl. Lineage: Eukaryota; Metazoa; Arthropoda; Insecta; Diptera; Drosophilidae.
CGGGCAGCCUGAUGCUCAUUCUCGUCCUCGUCCUCGUACUCACCCUGGUGCUCAUCCUCUGAAGCCACAAGAACACUCAGACGAGUCAAGGAGCAGGAGAAGCUGCGCUACCCAGACACUACGCCACAUAACCCAGCCGAUCCCAUACCCCUUCCACGUCUAGCUGGCCAAGAUUAAUGGGCGAGUUGCGUUCUGCUGCGGCGACUUAUGGAAAUUCAUCAUUAUCUCGCAGCCAGCAGCUCUUCGGCUACAACUGGCUGGUUUAAUGAGUUCCCGAGCGAUGUUCAAUCCAACUCAUUAGCUGCACUUUUCCUGCUAGCCAAAAAGUGCAAAUGUGUCUCCUGGAUACUGUACUGUAUAUAUAUUAUAUAUAUAUGUAAAUCCACUGUAUAUGGACAUGGUUUGCGGACUCGUGUGCGUAUUUGUCAUUGUCAACAUGGCUGUAGAACAUCGGAAUCGGAGGAGCUGGUGGACUGGGACUGGGCGUUGGGAGAUGGGAGUUGGGAAGCAGCUGCUCGGGCUUUCGGGCAGACUAGCAAAUUGUGUGGAUUCUGAUGGCCGCUUUCCAGGGCAGUUUUCCUAAUCCGGGGACUUGGCACGCGCUCCGAAAACUUUAAGCCAUAAAUCACGGCGCUUGCCAAACAAACAAGACCGCAACCGCAGACGGGCAAACAAAAAUCGGAAAGGAGAAAAAAAAACGAAGUCCAAAGGACGAAGAAUGAAUCCUUGGCUGGUCCACGGUCCACAUCCACCUUUGAUAAAUUCAAGAGCACGCACUUUUGAUUUAGGCAAAUCCCCACUCGGAUAUGUGAGACUAUAUCAUGCAUUGGCAGAAGUCAGCGGUUCGGAUUGGAGUUGGGGUUGGUGCGAAAGAAAUCUCCAUAAUAUAUGCCGGAACAUAUUCCGUACACAAAUUGCAGCCAGCAAGGAGACCGGAUACGGAUUCCUGACCAGUCCGGAUUCUGCUUCACAGGAUUGCAAUAUUAUAAUUCAAAUUUAUGCAGCCACCAAGGAACCCUUUUCACACGCACUUUCUUAUCGACAGCGAGCGAUUGGGUGGCUUGGGUGGAGAAGUGUAGGAGUGGAAGGUUGGGUAGAGGUGGAAAAGGACAUUCACUUUCUGGCAAAUGGAAAACGAGAAGACUGGCGGCGGAAACGGAAAUGAAGCCAAACGGAACAAGAAAAACAAAUUUACAAAAUGAAAAUGCCAAACACUCACGAUGGCGGGGGGGCUGCGGGUGGAAAAGCCAGCAUCCCCACGGUAUUCGUUUGGCGAUUUGCCUGUCACAGGGUUCGCAGAAUCCUCCACUUCCUUCUCGCUGCCCAAACUCCAAUUCUCCUAACUCACCAAAUAUCGUUGCUGUCGCCGUGGCUGCCACUUGUUUUAUUUAUUGCUUUUUUAACCCUUUUUUUUUGGGACUCGACUCGAAUCGCCGCCGCUUGUUAUUCUGGAUUUCCCCCCCGUCCUGACCAAAUGAAAUCGAACCGGCCCAUUCCAUUUCGCUCACUUGGGGGGCGAAAAAGUUUCCCUUUUGCAGCACGCAAACUGCAGUCGAACGGCCGCUUAAUGAAGUUGCCUCCAAGUUCAUUCGAAAUGCAUCGAUUUCCUGGCCUCCGCUUUUAUCCUAAUGAAAAGAAAGUGAACUCGGCAUCUGGGAAAUUUGCAUAAGCCUAGUAGCAUUUAGGCAAUCGGAUAAAGGUCAAUUGGAUAGCUGGCAUAGGAGCUUAGAAACAGUUCUCUAGUUUCUCUUUUGUUCUAACUCUAGCUCUAAAUGAAAUCUGAGAAAAAAUAUUAAACUCUUUUAACACAUUGUC